This 419-nucleotide ribosomal RNA is filed under the name Insecta sp. Thys-T003. RNAcentral describes it as "partial small subunit ribosomal RNA". The stretch from base 46 to 419 matches the Rfam family "Microsporidia small subunit ribosomal RNA", at positions 752 to 1278 of the family's 1311-position model. Lineage: Eukaryota; Metazoa; Arthropoda; Insecta. The record is from RNAcentral.
UAGGAUUAGAUACCCUAUUAUUAAUAAUGUAAAGUGGAUUAACCUGAGUAGUAAUAGGUAUGGUCUUGAAACUUAAAGGAUUUGGCGGUGUCUUAGUCUAUUCAGAGGAAUCUGUCCCGUAAUCGAUAGUCCCCGUUAAGGCUUUACUUAUUCUUGUUAUCAGCUUGUAUACCGCCGUAGAUGUGGGAAUUAUUAAGUGUCUUUCUUGAUUUUAUUUAAUUGAACAUCAGGUCAAGGUGCAGUUAAUGGGUAAGAGGAGAUGGAUUACAAUUAGUUGAUAAUACGGAUUUGUAUUUUAAAAGUGUAAUGAAGGUGGAUUUGAACGUAAUAUCAUUUGCAAUAGGUGGUUUGAGUUUGGCUCUAAGACAUGCACACAUCGCCCGUCGCUCUCGUUAUAAUAUGAAAUAAGUCGAAACAUA